Molecule: ribosomal RNA, 440 nt
Filed under: uncultured bacterium
Lineage: Bacteria
Description: partial 16S ribosomal RNA
Rfam family: Bacterial small subunit ribosomal RNA
Source: RNAcentral
CCUACGGGAGGCAGCAGUGGGGAAUAUUGCACAAUGGGGGAAACCCUGAUGCAGCGACGCCGCGUGAGUGAAGAAGUAAUUCGUUAUGUAAAGCUCUAUCAGCAGGGAAGAAAAUGACGGUACCUGAGUAAGAAGCCCCGGCUAACUACGUGCCAGCAGCCGCGGUAAUAAGUAGGGGGCAAGCGUUAUCCGGAUUUACUGGGUGUAAAGGGAGCGUAGACGGCAGUGCAAGUCUGGAGUGAAAGGCGGGGGCUCAACCCCCGGACUGCUCUGGAAACUGUACUGCUGGAGUGCAGGAGAGGUAAGUGGAAUUCCUAGUGUAGCGGUGAAAUGCGUAGAUAUUAGGAGGAACACCAGUGGCGAAGGCGGCUUACUGGACUGUAACUGACGUUGAGGCUCGAAAGCGUGGGGAGCAAACAGGAUUAGAUACCCCAGUAGUC